Molecule: non-coding RNA, 2745 nt
Organism: Microcebus murinus (gray mouse lemur)
Lineage: Eukaryota; Metazoa; Chordata; Mammalia; Primates; Cheirogaleidae
Source: RefSeq, a predicted model, not a curated record
CGGGCCGGUGUGAGGGCCGCUCGGCAGGGCUGGUUCGUCGCCUUUCCCCGGAGGUGGCCGCCCGCAUCCCGCCUUCCGGGCGCCGGGUGCGGGGCCGAAGCGGCGAUGCGCGUCCUGGGAGCGUGGCUCGCGGCGGCGCUGGCGCUGGCGGGGCUCGCGGCGCUGCCCGGGCGCUCAGAAGGUGCCUGUGUCCAUCAGGGUUCCUUGUUGGCGCUGAAGAUACCCUGUUAAACAGGUGCCAGCAUAAUCCGUGCAGCCAGAAAGAUUGCAGCGAAUGCUUCAGUCUGCGCUGAGCAGGAGUGACUCGACGUGACAUCAUUGCACUCUUCCAUGCUCGGCCCUCCACCAGGAAGUGUUCUUAAAAAUCACAGUCAUAAAAGCAAUGUGGUAUCUGUAAAUAAAGAAAUGCGUGAAACCUGUCCAGUUGCCUGGAGAGAUCUUUAUUUUGUGUUUAAAAAUGUUGAAACUUUUCCAAUACAAGAGAUUCUACGCUCACGUACAGUGGUUAGAUCCUGCUUGGUCAGGUUUCAUUCAAACAGUGGAAGCCUCGUUGUAGGGGAAAAAUAAGACUAUUUCCAGAUGGCCUACUAUAUUGGUAGCUCUAAAAGUUUAUUUCUAAUUUGUUUAUUCGGAAGUUGGAGCAUCUUUUCCCACCAAAACAGUUAAUAAAAGCUGUUUGAUUUAUUUGCGGCUUGGUGGAAUCUCACUGUUGUUAUCUUGGUUCUGAUCUGGCUUUGCGUGACAAAUGCAAACGUGGACGUUCACCUCCAGUCCUCCCUUACCUUUUGUUCCAUCUCUCACCUGUUUCCUUUGUCUUCCUGCCACCGUGGGUCGCCGCGGUAACUCUCUCCUGACUGUGUGGUGUCUUUUCUGGAUUCUCUCCAGAGUGACCCGCGCACCAGAGGGCCGAGGAAAUGUGCUGAGUGGUCUGGCCGGACUCGCUGGGCUGAGAGCGGCCAGUGCCACCUGCUUCCCUGAGCAGGAGCUCCAUGGAGGGUGGGCUUCCUUGGGGACCCGCGAGUUCUCAGGGCCAAGGUAGAGUCCGAGGCACGGCAGUGACUUCAACUAAUAUUCCUGAGUGAACUUCUUUGGUCCAGGUUUAAGAUGGCUUUUCAAAAGAAGAAAAAGUCAAGGAAAAUUUGAACAACUUUUUUUUGGUGUCUGAACUGUGGAACACACUUCCUUAGAGACGUCUCAGACGUGAAUGCAUUUCCCAGGGACGGCGGAAGCACUUGCACAGAAGAAACAGCACGGAAAGCAACCCGGUUGCCAGUCCUCACCUGGGUCCUUGGGAGCUCAGCGGAGCUGGUGCCCAGCACCUGUCAGCCAGGCUGCGGCCGGAGAGCCCGCGGCUCGCGGCUCCUUGUGGACGCGCCACCUCACACUGAGCGGGCGGGCUCGGGCCCCGCGCUCCCUGGAUUCGCUCCUUACGCGUUCGCUGCGGUCGCUGGCACGCCGAGCCCGGGCUUCACGGCAUGACCCUGCAGAGCCGCCCGACCUCUCCGAGUUGGGGCGCCCGCGCUCCCGGGAUUCGCUCCUUACGCGUUGGCUGCGGUCGCCGGCACGCCGAGCCCGGGCUUCACGGCAUGACCCUGCAGAGCCGCCCGACCUCUCCGAGUUGGGGCGGCACGGGGCGCUCCCUGGAUUCGCUCCUUACGCGUUCGCUGCGGUCGCCGGCACGCCGAGCCCGGGCUUCACGGCAUGACCCUGCAGAGCCGCCCGACCUCUCCGAGUUGGGGGGGCACGGGGUGCUCCCGGGAUUCGCUCCUUACGCAAUGGCUGUGGACACUGGCACGCCGAGCCCGGGCUUCACGGCAUGACCCUGUAGAGCCGCCCGACCUCUCCGAGUUGGGGCGGCACGGGGCGCUCCCUGGAUUCGCUCCUUACGCGUUGGCUGUGGACACUGGCACGCCGAGCCCGGGCUUCACGGCAUGACCCUGCAGAGCUGCCCGACCUCUCCGAGUUGGGGGGGCACGGGGUGCUCCCUGGAUUCGCUCCUUACGCGUUGGCUGCGGUCGCCGGCACGCCGAGCCCGGGCUUCACGGCAUGACCCUGCAGAGCCGCCCGACCUCUCCGAGUUGGGGGGGCACGGGGGCCAUUUUCACAGGAGUGCUUUAACUCCAGCUAAAUAGGGCAGUUAGAGUAAAAACCGAGAGUCAGAGAAAACCCGAGGAGGCAAGGAGCGAGCGCAAGGCAAGUCUGAAGCGGGCGAGGGCGCUGCAAAGGCUACUGCCUGGAGGUCGAGGCUAGCGCAGCCGUGCCUGUCUGUCGCGCGUGGUCCCUGCGGAGCGAGCGCGCGCCGGCCCCGGCUCAGACACCGCGCAGAGGAAGCGGUGGCGUCGCUUCGUCUGAAGGACAGGAAAGCGCAGAAGCGGAAGGCCAAGCAGCGUUUUAUCCCUCAGACCAGCGAGCGCGUGUAGGUGUGGCGUCCCGUUCGUCGGGCAGCACAGCGCGUGGGAGCCGCGCGGCGAGUGUGAGGCUUCCCGGGCACGUCUGGGACAGCGUCCGCCCGCUCGCCCUGGGCACGGGCCAGGCGGGACGCAGCUCACUGACCCUGACAGACAGACUGCCUUCCUGCGCGCCCAUCACACACGGAAGGGCACAUGCCGUGUUGCCCGAAAUAAGACCCACCCAUACAACAAGCCCCAGCAGGGUGUCUAAGCACGUGCGCAGUAGAAGCCCUGCCCCAAAAUCAGCCCCAGUGGUGGGCGUGGCUAUGGAAAUCAGCCCUGGUGGUGGGCGUGG